AUUGAACGCUGGCGGCAGGCCUAACACAUGCAAGUCGAGCGGAUGAAGGGAGCUUGCUCCUGGAUUCAGCGGCGGACGGGUGAGUAAUGCCUAGGAAUCUGCCUGGUAGUGGGGGAUAACGUCCGGAAACGGGCGCUAAUACCGCAUACGUCCUGAGGGAGAAAGUGGGGGAUCUUCGGACCUCACGCUAUCCGAUGAGCCUAGGCCGGAUUAGCUAGUUGGUGGGGUAAAGGCCUACCAAGGCGCCGAUCCGUAACUGGUCUGAGAGGAUGAUAAGUCACACUGGAACUGAGACACGGACCAGACUCCUACGGGAGGCAGCAGUGGGGAAUAUUGGACAAUGGGCGAAAGCCUGAUCCAACCAUGCCGCGUGUGAGAAGAAGGUCUUCGGAUUGUAAAGCACUUUUUGGUGGGAGGAAGGGCAGUAAGUUAAUACCUAGCUGUUUUGACGUUACCAACAGAAUAAGCACCGGCUAACUUCGUG
This 484-nucleotide ribosomal RNA is filed under the name uncultured bacterium. RNAcentral describes it as "partial 16S ribosomal RNA". It matches the Rfam family "Bacterial small subunit ribosomal RNA", at positions 30 to 507 of the family's 1533-position model. The record is from RNAcentral.